This 624-nucleotide ribosomal RNA is filed under the name uncultured bacterium. Its description in RNAcentral is "bacterial SSU rRNA". It matches the Rfam family "Bacterial small subunit ribosomal RNA", at positions 56 to 686 of the family's 1533-position model. The record is from RNAcentral.
UGCAAGUCGAACGGACUCAACCGAAAUAUUUAUAUUUUGGAGCGGUUAGUGGCGGACUGGUGAGUAACGCGUAAGCAAUCUGCCUAUUAGAGGGGAAUAACAGUGAGAAAUCACUGCUAAUACCGCAUAUGCCAUGAACAUCGCAUGAUGAAAAUGGGAAAGGAGUAAUCCGCUAAUAGAUGAGCUUGCGUCUGAUUAACUAGUUGGUGUGGUAAUGGCAUACCAAGGUAACGAUCAGUAGCCGGACUGAGAGGUUGAACGGCCACAUUGGGACUGAGAUACGGCCCAGACUCCUACGGGAGGCAGCAGUCGGGAAUAUUGCGCAAUGGAGGAAACUCUGACGCAGUGACGCCGCGUAUAGGAUGAAGGUUUUCGGAUUGUAAACUAUUGUCAUUAGGGAAGAUAAAAGACAGUACCUAAGGAGGAAGCUCCGGCUAACUACGUGCCAGCAGCCGCGGUAAUACGUAGGGAGCAAGCGUUAUCCGGAUUUAUUGGGUGUAAAGGGUGCGUAGACGGGAGAUUAAGUUAGUUGUGAAAGCCCUCGGCUUAACUGAGGAAUUGCAACUAAAACUGGUUUUCUUGAGUGCAGGAGAGGUAAGUGGAAUUCCUAGUGUAGCGGUGAAA